GAAAUGUAGGGCGCGUUGCGCUCUGUUGCACGGUGUUUUGUGGGGUGCUGUGACUUGGAUCACCCGCGCACACGCCCUUGGGUUGCAUGGACCGCGCACCUUGACGCACAAGCCUUGCUGCACGUUGCUGCCGAGUUCACCGGUAGCGAUGCUUCCGCCGGCAAAGCCUGUUUGAAUGCAAAGCUGCAACACUGGCUGUGUGCUGAGGUGAAAACUGGGGAGGAGGCGGUGCUGCGUGCUGAGUGUGGACGUACGCGCGCGUGGUGGUGUGAGUGGAG
This 278-nucleotide long non-coding RNA is filed under the name Chlamydomonas reinhardtii. RNAcentral describes it as "long non-coding RNA (CREI_LNC000247)". The record is from RNAcentral. Lineage: Eukaryota; Viridiplantae; Chlorophyta; Chlorophyceae; Chlamydomonadales; Chlamydomonadaceae.